AUUGCUCUAGUAACGGCGAGUGAAGCAGCAAUAGCUCAAAUUUGAAAUCUGGCGUCUUCGACGUCCGAGUUGUAAUUUGUAGAGGAUGCUUCUGAGUGGCCACCGACCUAAGUUCCUUGGAACAGGACGUCAUAGAGGGUGAGAAUCCCGUAUGCGGUCGGAAAGGCGCUCUAUACGUAGCUCCUUCGACGAGUCGAGUUGUUUGGGAAUGCAGCUCUAAAUGGGAGGUAAAUUUCUUCUAAAGCUAAAUAUUGGCCAGAGACCGAUAGCGCACAAGUAGAGUGAUCGAAAGAUGAAAAGCACUUUGGAAAGAGAGUUAAAAAGCACGUGAAAUUGUUAAAAGGGAAGGGAUUGCAACCAGACUUGCUCGCGGUGUUCCGCCGGUCUUCUGACCGGUCUACUCGCCGCGUUGCAGGCCAGCAUCGUCUGGUGCCGCUGGAUAAGACUUGAGGAAUGUAGCUCCCUCGGGAGUGUUAUAGCCUCUUGUGAUGCAGCGAGCGCCGGGCGAGGUCCGCGCUUCGGCUAGGAUGCUGGCGUAAUGGUCGUAAUCCGCCCGUCUUGAAACACGGACCAAGGAGUCUAACAUCUAUGCGAGUGUUCGGGUGUCAAACCCCUACGCGUAAUGAAAGUGAACGGAGGUGAGAACCGCAAGGUGCAUCAUCGACCGAUCCUGAUGUCUUCGGAUGGAUUUGAGUAAGAGCAUAGCUGUUGGGACCCGAAAGAUGGUGAACUAUGCCUGAAUAGGGUGAAGCCAGAGGAAACUCUGGUGGAGGCUCGCAGCGGUUCUGACGUGCAAAUCGAUCGUCAAAUUUGGGUAUAGGGGCGAAAGACUAAUCGAACCAUCUAGUAGCUGGUUCCUGCCGAAGU
RNAcentral lists this ribosomal RNA (867 nucleotides) under Cladosporium sinuosum. RNAcentral's name for it is "LSU rRNA". It matches the Rfam family "Eukaryotic large subunit ribosomal RNA", at positions 74 to 967 of the family's 3401-position model. Lineage: Eukaryota; Fungi; Ascomycota; Dothideomycetes; Cladosporiales; Cladosporiaceae. The record is from RNAcentral.